RNAcentral lists this ribosomal RNA (468 nucleotides) under uncultured bacterium. RNAcentral describes it as "partial 16S ribosomal RNA". It matches the Rfam family "Bacterial small subunit ribosomal RNA", at positions 28 to 507 of the family's 1533-position model. The record is from RNAcentral.
GACGAACGCUGGCGGCGUGCUUAACACAUGCAAGUCGAACGGAAAGGCCCUGCUUUUGUGUCGUGCUUGAUUGGCGAACGGGUGAGUAACACGUGAGUAACCUGCCCUUGACUUUGUGAUAACUUCAGGAAACUCGGGCUAAUACCCGAUAGGAUCUCCUGCUGCGUGGUGGGCGUUGGAAAGUUUCGGCGGUUGGGGAUGGACUCGCGGGUUAUCAGCUUGUUGGUGUGGUAGUGGCUUACCAAGGCUUUGACGGGUAGCCGGCCUGAGAGGGUGACCGGGGACAUUGGGACUGAGAUACGGACCAGAAUCGUACGGGACGCAGCAGUGGGGAAUAUUGCGCAAUGGGGGGAAGCCUGAUGCAGAAACCCCGCGAGCGGGAUAACGGCCUUCGGGUGGUAAACCGCUUUGGCAUGUGACGAAGCGUGAGUGACGGUAAUGGGUAAAGAAGCACCGGCUAACUACGUG